This is a long non-coding RNA of Papaver somniferum (opium poppy), 1932 nucleotides long. RefSeq lists it as uncharacterized. NCBI's taxonomy places the organism in Eukaryota, Viridiplantae, Streptophyta, Magnoliopsida, Ranunculales, Papaveraceae. The transcript is spliced from 3 exons. The record is from RefSeq and is a predicted model, not a curated record.
AGAUAAUUCUUCUCAUUAUCAUUAUUAUCUUCUUUACCUGAAAGAAAGAAGGAGAUGGCGGCUUCAUUAAAUUCACAGGAAGGAAAUUCAGAGAUGAAGAAUGGAAUGGAGGAAAUCAAAGGAAUUAGGGUAUAAUCACUAGAAGAAAGAAGAUGGAGGUUGUUGUGUUAAAUUGAGUUCUGAAUCGAGAAAUUCAAGGUGAUUUAGAAUAUGGGGUCAGAAUGAAAUUGGGGAUCUGUUUCCCUUUGAGACAAGGGAUAUCGGUGGCUUUGUAUGAAUUUGGUACUGAUGAUUCGAAUGGAUGAGAAAAGGGUUUACAGGGAGGAAUCAGAUAGAAGAUUUGGUGAAGGAUUUGUUGAAAUUAGGGUUCUGAAUGAACAGAUUGAGAGGGGUAUUACUCGAAAUAGGGUUUGUUUCUGUGAUUUGAUAAAGAUUACAGGAGAGGGAAACUGAGAUUCAAGGUAUGUGAAUAAUGGGUUUAGAGUUUGAAAUCGAGAAAUGGAAGAAUGGGGUUUGAAUUAAUUAGUUGGUUCGAUCUGAUAUGGUGGAAUUAGAAGAUAAAUCUGCUGAUGAACUGGAAGAAGAAGCUGUAGCUGUGAUUGGCUUUUGUGGAAAGGAUGCAAGUGCUGCAACUAGGAGUUGCAGUUGGUGCUGCUGGAGCUACAGAUGGUACUAGUAAUGGAAUUGCAGAUGGUGGUUGCUAUGCAGGAUUGAUGUUGUUGUCAAUUUAACACAGGGAAGAAGAUGAGUGGCUCUGGGUGUUAUCUGUGUUUGUGUUGCAUGCAAGUAAAGAAGGGGAUUUGGUUUGAAUAUGUGAAUGAUUUUGUGGUGGUAGUUUUCUUGAGAACUGAAGUUGCAGUUGUUAGGCAGUGGUGGACAAAAUGGUAUGAACUUCUGUUGUUUGUGACUAAAAUGGAUCUGGAAUUACAGGAAUUCAGGGUAUUGAUGCUGAUACUGAUAUCGAGUUACAAGUGGUGGUUCUGAUGUUUUUGAGCAAAUGGUUACUGAAUUGAUAUUGGUGGAAUGGUUUGAAUUUGAAGAAGAAGAUGAAUAUGAGAUGUCUCUGAGCUGAUGCUGCUGCUUAGAUGUAUGCUAGGACAAGUAUGAGCUACUGGUGGUAUCUUGUUGCCAUUGAGCUGGUGGAGAUGUGCAGUGUGUAACUGAUGCUGAACUGAAGUGGCAGAAUGAAUGAAAAUUGCAGUUAGAGUUAUUGAUGGAAUGUAAUUGGUGGUGUUGUUAUGGCAGUGGUGAAAAUAGAGCUACAGGGAAUGCGAUAUGAGUGUUUGUACUGAACUGCAGACCUUAAGGGUUUGAAAGAAUUGGUAAGUUCUGUAUGGAGCCAACAAGGAAGGAGCAACUGAUGCCGAGGAGUUACAGGAGUUAUUGGUUCAAGAUUGAAGCUCGAGAUGGAACUGAUGCCGUGGUGGUAUAUGUUCAUAUCAAGUGCUGCUUGUCAGUGCAACAGAAGGUUCUUGAUGAUUUCCAAGGGUAUGGCUUGUGUUGGAUUGUAGGAUAAGCUGCAGAGAAGGAGAGCUUGGUGCUGCAAUGAGCAAACUCUAGGAAUGAUGUGCUGUUACAAGUAAUGCUGCCAGGAGUGUGAAGCUGCAGUUCAACUGAAGCUAGAGCAGGCAAGGAUGGAAUUGAUUUAUGUAUGAAUGAAGAGAGAUUGUGAACCUGAACUGUGCUACAGAGGUGCAGGAAUGGCUCGAAUGAGGGAAUGAAUGCUUGCUGGUGAUGUUAGAACUGGCAGGGUGCAAAGAUGGGUUGCUGCAGAGCUGAGCCGAAGUUGAUUAACGGUUGCUGCAGUGGGCUACAAAAGAAGUUGCAGGUUAUAUUUCACAUUUAUUGUGGAUUUUCCUACCAAAAAGGAAGUUUUAUAGAAAUAAGCCCUUGCGACGAAAUGGGCUCAAAAAGCAGUGUUUUACACCCCAG